GGCCUCGUAGCUCAGCUGGUACAGCACUCACGGUAUUGAAGCGAGGGUGGUAACCAUGCGUGGGUUAGAAUCCCGCCGAGGCCA
Molecule: transfer RNA, 84 nt
Filed under: Fasciola hepatica (liver fluke)
Lineage: Eukaryota; Metazoa; Platyhelminthes; Trematoda; Plagiorchiida; Fasciolidae
Rfam family: tRNA
About the family: Transfer RNA (tRNA) molecules are approximately 80 nucleotides in length. Their secondary structure includes four short double-helical elements and three loops (D, anti-codon, and T loops).
Source: Rfam by way of RNAcentral